GUCUGGGUCUUGCCAUCGCACGCGGUGUUUGUCACGAUUUUCCUUGCCAGUUUUAUCACUGAACCCUGCUGUUUGCUUGAAUACAGUGAAGCGACUAGUGGUCGCAAUUUCAUACGCUUUAAUUAACUCGUAUGCAGUAACUUCGUCUUUAACAUAUCCAGAAAAAGAAUCAAACUGUGCUGUAAAAUGCAAUGUCCACGGAUCGCUUGAUGUGGAACUCGCCAUUUCGAAAUUAAAAAUUCGCGCGAAUUUGAUUUUUAUUGUUUACAAUUAAAACCGGAAACACAGCAACCGGAUACGAGUCAGCGUUGUUCAUUACUGCUGGUAAAAUAUUAAGUGACU
Non-coding RNA from Paramuricea clavata, 342 nucleotides. The record is from the annotation of a GenBank genome assembly. NCBI's taxonomy places the organism in Eukaryota, Metazoa, Cnidaria, Anthozoa, Malacalcyonacea, Plexauridae.